RNAcentral lists this transfer RNA (72 nucleotides) under Cavia porcellus (domestic guinea pig). It matches the Rfam family "tRNA". From Rfam's summary of the family: Transfer RNA (tRNA) molecules are approximately 80 nucleotides in length. Their secondary structure includes four short double-helical elements and three loops (D, anti-codon, and T loops). Further hydrogen bonds mediate the characteristic L-shaped molecular structure. tRNAs have two regions of fundamental functional importance: the anti-codon, which is responsible for specific mRNA codon recognition, and the 3' end, to which the tRNAs corresponding amino acid is attached (by aminoacyl-tRNA synthetases). tRNAs cope with the degeneracy of the genetic code in two manners: having more than one tRNA (with a specific anti-codon) for a particular amino acid; and 'wobble' base-pairing, i.e. permitting non-standard base-pairing at the 3rd anti-codon position. Lineage: Eukaryota; Metazoa; Chordata; Mammalia; Rodentia; Caviidae. The record is from Rfam by way of RNAcentral.
AGGGGUGUGGUUCAGUGGUAGAGCAUUUGCCUGGCAAACACUAGGCCUUGGGUUCUAUCCCCAGUACCACAG